Olea europaea var. sylvestris is the source of this 452-nucleotide long non-coding RNA. RefSeq lists it as uncharacterized. The record is from RefSeq and is a predicted model, not a curated record. The transcript has 3 exons. Lineage: Eukaryota; Viridiplantae; Streptophyta; Magnoliopsida; Lamiales; Oleaceae.
UCCGUCAAAUGAAGUGCGCAGAUUGGUGAAGCAGCUUGUCAGGAAAUGGAAGGAAACUGUGGAUGAGUGGGUUAAGGUGAACAAACCUGAAGCAUCUUCACACCUCAUCGGUGCCAGAUUUCGGGUACUCUCCAAAUCCACGGAGAGAAUGUCUUAAUCAGAUUCUGAAAUUUGUGGUUGGUCAGUGUUUUUUGUUGCUUUCUUUAUGUUGUGCAUUUAGAUGACAUUAUUCUCAUGUUUUGUCUGUUAGAUGUGUGUGGUCUGGUGCAGAAAGGAACAUCUCAAAAUAUGAACCAAAGCCUAGACCACCUCAAUCUGUCCCUCGUAGAGAAACUCCAUCCAGACGACCACAAUCAGUUCCUAAAUCUGCUUCUGCUCCUCCUAUACUGACUUCUGAACUGAACUUUUUAUACAUACAAAUGCACAUUACGCAUCAUUGAUUUGUGUGCGUA